Long non-coding RNA from Stomoxys calcitrans (stable fly), 436 nucleotides. RefSeq lists it as uncharacterized. The transcript has 3 exons. The record is from RefSeq and is a predicted model, not a curated record. NCBI's taxonomy places the organism in Eukaryota, Metazoa, Arthropoda, Insecta, Diptera, Muscidae.
UUGAGAAUUUUGCUAGCAACAUGGUGAAAUCGAUUUGUAAAAAAAACUUAGUACUGCUUAUUCGAAAAAAUUUCGUAGUCAUUUCACAAAAGUUAUUUUAUAGUGCGUCAAGUCAACAUUACAACUAUAAAUUUCAACUGAAUCUAAACGAAUACUCCAGCCUUUGAUAACUUACUGAAGCCAAAUCAAAUCCCAAAUUACCCAUGAACAUGUCAUUAAGGAGCAGAUUCGAGACUUCUUCCAUAUCACGAAAUUUUACUUGGCCAAAUACCUUACAAAUGUCACAAUGUCCAAAAAAUUGGUAAAAUGGGACCUGACAUUGCUGCUUCCGAUGAUAAUCUCUUCCGAUAUAUACAAUCGAUCGGUUCUUUUAUUAAUUCUUAUUAUGAUAAAGUCAUAACAUGGAUUGAUGAUUGGAACUCAGUAAAAGAGCAAG